RNAcentral lists this long non-coding RNA (1138 nucleotides) under Homo sapiens (human). RNAcentral's name for it is "HSALNT0097700". The record is from RNAcentral. Lineage: Eukaryota; Metazoa; Chordata; Mammalia; Primates; Hominidae.
GAGAGUGAAAUUUCCCCUGGAAUUUGCAAGCCUUCAAUAAACUCCAGAGUUUCAAAAUAGUUACAUCAGAUGGAGUCUGCUAGUGUUAGGUAUGCAGAAGCAGUCCAGGCAGUACAAUCAGCCAAAACUGAUUAUGAAUUCUGGUUAUACAGCUUCCCAGCUGGGGAACCUUGAGCAAUUCAUCCACCUCUCUGGGCCCCGGUUAUGAAUAAAAUAUAAAAGAAAAUGCAGGCCACAUGAGUUUUGCAGAGCAGACGUAGAAAGCAGAGAAUGAAAAAAAGAAAAAGAGGAGAGAUCUGAAGCCAGAAUGGGCGUCAUGCAAGAGGCUCUAGAGUUGCAGACAGUUGCAGCCCAGAUACGACGUGCAAAGAGAGACAUCCCAGAUCUCCCACACAGAACUCCGGCGCGCUUUGAAGUGUUGACAACACAUAAAAUUAAAAGCAUCACAAUGCGAAUUAUCACGUUGUUUUUUCCACUUUGAUAGCCUCUACAAAGCAUUUUAUACCGAUGAAUCAAUACAAAUGUCUCUUUAUAAAGACAUUGGAAACAAAAAGAUACAUUUUUUUUUUUCCUUAAGAGAAACCGACACAACUAACAAAAAGAUUUCAGCCCUGGCUUGCAGGAUAGCUCUAGGUAACAUAGUGAGUUUGUCUCUCCUUUUCACAGUGGCCUUGGAGGUCACUGCUGUCUACUUGCUUGGGUCAAUCAUUCAGCCUCCGGAUGAAUGUUCUGCCUGCUGAUUAGUCAGCACCAUGAGAUGAGACAAACAAGCCACAAUUGCAUUGCUAUUGCCUCCUGACUGCACACACAUGUGUGUGCACAUGUAUAAGAAUAUAUACAGUGUGUGUAAAUAUAUAGAGGCGUGUGUGUGUGUGUGUGUGUAUUUUGUGGUUUGGUAAAAUAAAGCUUGCAAAUUAGGAUUAAUUUAUAACUCGUUAUAAUUGGAUUAUUGGCUGGGACUCCCUUUAUGUUACAGCAGAUGGACUUUUGCGUGAAAUAUUUUCCCUGAGUUGCUAUAGAGAUGUGCCAAGAUCUCUCUGCUGAAGUGAUUCCCCGCAGGCCUGUUUGUUGUUGUGCCCGGUGCCGAAUCACUUGCAGGCUGAAUCACUUACAGCCCUCACAGAGGCUGAUGAAAGAG